RNAcentral lists this long non-coding RNA (1108 nucleotides) under Marmota monax (woodchuck). The record is from RNAcentral. Lineage: Eukaryota; Metazoa; Chordata; Mammalia; Rodentia; Sciuridae.
GUUUGGGCCUGUUCUUUUUAUGAUCGCUGGAAUUUCCUCCUUUCGGUAUCUUCGCCCCUGUCCACGUUCUCCUCACUGUUAUUGAUUGGUGCCCCCUGUGUCCAUGUGUCUGGUUUACUUUUUCUACUGGAUUCCCCACUUAGGAACACGAGUACAGAAGUGUCAAGCAGGAAGUUGAUGUCAUCAGAAGACCCUCUGGAUGCUCCUCUGUUCUGGCCCUGCCCCUGACCUCCUCACGCGCCAUCUUGGCCUGGCCGCCUAAGCCCUGGUAUGUCCACCUCAGUGGGAGUAUGAGGUCAUAAGAGCCAGUCAGAGGGGUGGACUGUGGGCCUUCCUCCAGUUCCCUUGUUCUCAUUUUCUGUGUCCUAACCCAAAAAACAUAGAGCACCUUGACAGCUCUGUGACCUGGUUGGCUGCAUCUCUCCUGCAGGCUUGAGCCCUAUCCUGGGCCUUGGAUUUCCCAGGCACUGGUAACAGGACUUCAGGUUGUUGCCUGAAACACCAAAAAAACCAACUGACCCUGAGCCCAGUGUCUUACACCCUCCUGGAACUCCCUCCCUCCCCUACCCCAGGGGACAUGCAUAUGUAGGUAGGAUGCCCUUCUCAUGCUGACCUCAGGAGGACACUCUGUAAGUUCCCCCAACACAUACUCCCUCCAGCUGCCCUGGCCUGCAGGGCUUCCUGCUUUGGAACUGCAGCAGGCCCCAUCUUGGGGCAGUUUGGGGCAGUCCCUUGUGGGAACUCUCCCAUCUAUGCAGUAACUAUAGCUUUGGGUUCCAUAGGGCAAAACAAAUCAUAAGGGGACAAAUGUAGAUCAAAGGUUCUUAAUAUUUUUUUAGUUCACCGAUCCAUUUGGCAGUUGUCUGUUCUUACAGGCUGAAGUAUUGUUUUAAGAGGGAAUCUACAGGCUUCACCAGACAACUGCCAAAUGGAUCGGUGAACUAAAAAAAAUAUUAAGAACCUUUGAUCUACAUUUGUCCCCUUAUGAUUUGUUAGUAGAGGAUAGGAAAGGUAGUAGAAUACAACAGUUACUAAUAUGGCAUUAUGUAAAAAUGUGGAUGUGUAACCGAUGUGAUUCUGCAAUCUGUAUUUGGGGUAAAAAUGGGAG